This 253-nucleotide ribosomal RNA is filed under the name uncultured bacterium. RNAcentral's name for it is "partial 16S ribosomal RNA". It matches the Rfam family "Bacterial small subunit ribosomal RNA", at positions 524 to 776 of the family's 1533-position model. The record is from RNAcentral.
UACAGAGGGUGCAAGCGUUAAUCGGAUUUACUGGGCGUAAAGCGUGCGUAGGUGGUGAUGUAAGUCGGAUGUGAAAGCCCUGGGCUCAACCUGGGAACUGCAUUCGAUACUGCAUUACUAGAGUUCGGUAGAGGGCGGCGGAAUUCCGGGUGUAGCGGUGAAAUGCGUAGAUAUCCGGAGGAACACCGAUGGCGAAGGCAACCGCCUGGGCCUGAACUGACACUGAGGCACGAAAGCGUGGGGAGCAAACAGG